Molecule: ribosomal RNA, 250 nt
Filed under: uncultured bacterium
Lineage: Bacteria
Description: partial 16S ribosomal RNA
Rfam family: Bacterial small subunit ribosomal RNA
Source: RNAcentral
UACAGAGGUCUCAAGCGUUGUUCGGAAUUACUGGGCGUAAAGGGUGCGUAGGCCGCACGGGCAGUCAAAUGUGAAAUUCUGGGGCUCAACCUCAGAAUUGCGCUUGAUACUUCCGUGCUCGAACCUUGGAGAGGAGUCUGGAAUUCUCGGUGUAGCAGUGAAAUGCGUGGAUAUCGAGAAGAACACUAAGGGCGAAGGCAAGACUCUAGACAAGUGUUGACGCUGAUGCACGAAGGCUAGGGUAGCGAAC